Molecule: non-coding RNA, 21 nt
Filed under: Caenorhabditis elegans
Lineage: Eukaryota; Metazoa; Nematoda; Chromadorea; Rhabditida; Rhabditidae
Source: RNAcentral
UACCAUGAUGUAUACGGCAUU